This 60-nucleotide ribosomal RNA is filed under the name Fusarium oxysporum. RNAcentral describes it as "partial 28S ribosomal RNA". It matches the Rfam family "Eukaryotic large subunit ribosomal RNA", at positions 1 to 57 of the family's 3401-position model. Lineage: Eukaryota; Fungi; Ascomycota; Sordariomycetes; Hypocreales; Nectriaceae. The record is from RNAcentral.
UGUUGACCUCAGAUCAGGUAGGAAUAUCCGCUGAACUUAAGCAUAUCAAUAAGCGGAGGA